This 1375-nucleotide unclassified non-coding RNA is filed under the name uncultured Neocallimastigales. Its description in RNAcentral is "partial contains small subunit ribosomal RNA, internal transcribed spacer 1, 5.8S ribosomal RNA, internal transcribed spacer 2, and large subunit ribosomal RNA". The stretch from base 621 to 1375 matches the Rfam family "Eukaryotic large subunit ribosomal RNA", at positions 1 to 617 of the family's 3401-position model. Lineage: Eukaryota; Fungi; Neocallimastigomycota; Neocallimastigomycetes; Neocallimastigales. The record is from RNAcentral.
UUUCCGUAGGUGAACCUGCGGAAGGAUCAUUAAAAAUAUCACUCGAUUGAGAGUGAUUUAAUAAUCAUCCUACCCUUUGUGAAUUUGUUUGUAAUGUUAAAUUUAUGUUGUCUAUCCCUUGGAAAGUUUGUUCAUUUAAUAAACCCCAAGGGAAUAGGCUUUCAUAGACCUUUUUUUUAAAAUUAAACAUUUUGUAUUCAUUUGUCUAAAAUUUAUUUUUAAAAUAAUUUAAAAACAACUUUUGACAAUGGAUCUCUUGGUUCUCGCAACGAUGAAGAACGCAGCAAAAUGCGAUAAGUAAUGUGAAUUGCAGAAUACGUGAAUCAUCAAAUCUUCGAACGCAUAUUGCACUUUUUUAGUUUACUAAAAAAGUAUGUCUGUUUGAGUAUCAGUAAAUAUUCUCAUAAAAAAAUUUUUUUUUAUGGUCAUGAGUGUUUACAACGAUAAACAAGUUGUUUCACUUUAAAUUGAUUUUUAAAAGCCAAUUUUUUUGGUUUUUAUCUAAUAAAAUUGGAUAAAAUUUUCCCGUAAGAAGGAAUAAACUUUUCAGUUUUAAAGGGUAAAAAUUAAAAUAUUUAUUGUUGCUUAAUUUAAAAGGAAAAUUUAAUUUAAAAAUAACUUGAUCUCAAAUCAGAUAAGAGUACCCGCUGAACUUAAGCAUAUCAAUAAGCGGAGGAAAAGAAACUAACAAGGAUUCCCUUAGUAACGGCGAGUGAAGCGGGAAGAGCUCAAAUUUGAAAUCUUCAAGGUUCUACCUUGACGAAUUGUAGUUUAAAGAAGUGUUUUCUGUUAGAGGAGUAGCAAAAGUUCCUUGGAAUGGGACAUCAUAGAGGGUGAGAAUCCCGUAUUUGGUUAUUCUUUCUAGCUUUGUGAUACACUUUCAAAGAGUCGGAUUGUUUGGGAAUGCAGUCCAAAAUGGGUGGUAAAUUUCAUCUAAAGCUAAAUAUUGGCGAGAGACCGAUAGCGAACAAGUACCGUGAGGGAAAGAUGAAAAGAACUUUGAAAAGAGAGUUAAACAGUACGUGAAAUUGUCAAAAGGGAAGCGUUUGACACCAGUGUUGUUUUUCCGAAAAUCAAUUAAGAAGGGCUUGAUUUUGUGUUGUAUGACCUUAUCAGCUUCUUCACUCUUUUUCGAGUCUUUCUUAAUGCACUUUUCGGUUAACAAGUCAACAUCAAUUUCUUUUGUUGUAAAAGGGUAUUUGGAAGGUGGCUUUCUUUUCGGAGAAAGUGUUUAUAGCCUUAUACCUCUACAAUCGGAGAGAUUGAGGUCUGCAGCGUAGAUCCUUCGGGCUAGAUACACUUGUGCUAAGUUAUAGCUUUCAUAGACAACUUGUUGACUAUGUUUAGUCAUGUAGCUUACCCGCUUGUGCUAUUU